RNAcentral lists this transfer RNA (69 nucleotides) under Ctenolucius hujeta. RNAcentral describes it as "tRNA-Asp". It matches the Rfam family "tRNA". Rfam says of the family: Transfer RNA (tRNA) molecules are approximately 80 nucleotides in length. Their secondary structure includes four short double-helical elements and three loops (D, anti-codon, and T loops). The record is from RNAcentral. Lineage: Eukaryota; Metazoa; Chordata; Actinopteri; Characiformes; Ctenoluciidae.
AAAGUGCUAGUAAAACAAUUACACUGCUUUGUCAAGGCAGAAUUGCAGGUUAAAACCCUGCGCACUUUA